UAGGCUUAUAACUAUAUCCACUUACACCUGUGAACUGUUCUACUACUUGACGCAAGUCGAGUAUUUUUACAAACAAUGUGUAAUGAACGUCGUUUUAUUAUAACAAAAUAAAACUUUCAACAACGGAUCUCUUGGCUCUCGCAUCGAUGAAGAACGCAGCGAAUUGCGAUAAGUAAUGUGAAUUGCAGAAUUCAGUGAAUCAUCGAAUCUUUGAACGCAGCUUGCGCUCUCUGGUAUUCCGGAGAGCAUGCCUGUUUCAGUGUCAUGAAAUCUCAACCACUAGGGUUUCCUAAUGGAUUGGAUUUGGGCGUCUGCGAUUUCUGAUCGCUCGCCUUAAAAGAGUUAGCAAGUUUGACAUUAAUGUCUGGUGUAAUAAGUUUCACUGGGUCCAUUGUGUUGAAGC
RNAcentral lists this ribosomal RNA (403 nucleotides) under Trichosporon asahii. RNAcentral's name for it is "eukaryotic LSU rRNA". The stretch from base 112 to 265 matches the Rfam family "5.8S ribosomal RNA". The record is from RNAcentral. Lineage: Eukaryota; Fungi; Basidiomycota; Tremellomycetes; Trichosporonales; Trichosporonaceae.